RNAcentral lists this unclassified non-coding RNA (233 nucleotides) under fungal sp. RNAcentral's name for it is "partial contains 5.8S ribosomal RNA, internal transcribed spacer 2, and large subunit ribosomal RNA". Lineage: Eukaryota; Fungi. The record is from RNAcentral.
CGCACAUUCGCCCCUUGGUAUUCCGAAGGGCAUGCCUGUUCGAGCGUCAUUUCAACCCUCAAGCCUAGCUUGGUAUUGGACGCGGUCCCAGGACCCGUCCGCAACCCGUUGGCGGUACCGUCUAGCCUCAAGCGUAGCAAAAAUUUCGCUUCAGGAGUCCGCGGCGGUACUCGCUAGGUAACUAGUACCUAAAGUUUGACCUCGGAUCAGGUGAGGAUACCCGCUGAACUUAA